AUCGCUUCUCGGCCUUUUGGCUAAGAUCAAGUGUAGUAUCUGUUCUUAUUAGUUUAAUAUCUGAUACGUCCUCUAUCCGAGGACAAUAUAUUAAAUGGGUUUUUGGAACUAUGUUUGGCCCUGGAAUCCCACGAGGUAGCUGGAUGGAACAGACUCCUACAACUUGACAUCUUAAUUCCUCGUGUGUGCCUCUCCCAUC
This is a small nuclear RNA of Apodemus sylvaticus (European woodmouse), 199 nucleotides long. RefSeq annotates it as U2 spliceosomal RNA. Lineage: Eukaryota; Metazoa; Chordata; Mammalia; Rodentia; Muridae. The record is from RefSeq and is a predicted model, not a curated record. The transcript has a single exon.